CCCCCCCCCCCCCCCCCUCUCCCCCCGGACGUAGCCGCCACUAUAACAUGUAAUAGAUUACAAAUCGGAUGGGGGUAAGAAUUAAUUUUGUGGUUGCUUGUGUUUGGUAAAGAAAAAAAAAGAAUAUAAUGGUCCUUAAUCACUAGGAAUGCUCCCCCAUCAACCAUCAAGCAGCCGUUCAGAGCUCCAUGUGCAUCUGUUCUGUACAACUAGUUCCAGACUGAUCUCAUGAAUUGACCACCUACCGAUUUGUCCUCAGAUUCCCAUAAAUUUCUCUGCAGAAAUGGUGCUAAAGUCGCAGGAACACACGACAAAUUUGCAUUGUUCCUCGAGUAGCGAUGAUUUCCCUAUGCCAAGAGUGAGCUUAGCUAUUAGACAUCUAAAUUAAGGGUUGUUGUACAUGUAUGUGAAUAAGGGUUAAUAUCAGGCAACACCCAUACAAUAGUUUGUACUUUGUGUCGCAAAAAAAACAUAGAAACACAAGCUAAAUCAUCCUAGAACCACGAGUUCAUGGACCGAUCGAUCUCCCCGGUAAGGGCAAAAGAACAUCAUGACGAAGUCAAGAAACAAGGUGGCGGCCGGCGGCAGCGCCCAGCAGGGCGCUCUAGGCGAGGGCCAGGGCGAGGCGCUCGGCGGUGCGCGCCAGCGACUGGAGGUUGCAGCGCACGAUGGUGUCGACGAACACACGCGUCUCGUCCGCGGUGUUGCCGGGGGGCACGUCCACCACGUACGACUCCACGACGACGGUGCCGCCGGCGCCGGCCUCGGCCUCGUGCACGGUGGUGACGGACCGGUAGUUGGCGAGGCGGUGCUCGCCGCCGACGACGCGGAAGCUGAGCACGCGGCGCUCGUCGUCGAGGAUCUCCAGCCGCUCGCGGCUGCUGGUGGCGGGGAGGCCCGACACGACCCGCACCUCGCGCACCGACCCCACGGCCACAGUGGCUCCGGCUCCGGCUCCGGCGCCGCCGCCGCCGUCGUCCACGAGGCGGCAGCUCCGGAUGAAGUGCUUGUACGCCUGCGGGCGGUCGAAGCGGCGCACCACGGACCAGACGGCCCCGACGGGCGCCGCGAUCGCCUGCACCACCGCCGAGCAGCACUGCCCCGCGCGCGCCGCGUGCUCGUGGUGCCGCGCCACCUCCGCCGGCACCGCCGCGCACGACGCCCCGUGCGACGCCGCUACUAUCGCCGCCUUCGCCCCGCCGCCGGUCACACGGCUGUGCUGCUGCGGCGACGGCCUCGGAGCUGUGUACGGCAUUGCUGCUGCUUUGCUUCCUUGCUUUGCUUUGCUUGCUCCUCUCUCUGUGUGUGCCGCCGGACACAGACACGCCCUGCCCCACGCCUCAACAAGGCUCAAGGUUCUUUGGCUGGGCUCGCUGCUCCACAGAGGAGGAGGACGGACGGACGGCGGCGGCCAAGCGAGGAGGGGAGGGGAUCUGGAAGCUGGUAGAGCUGGAGGACAGAGGCGGUUAUAUACCUGGGACGGGACAAACAACUGGGGUGGUGGUGGUGGUGCCGGUCAUGGUCACUCCCUCCUCGCAACUUGCCAAGGCGGCAGCACACACACACACACUUGCCAUUACUCUACUGUGUGGCCUCUCGCAAGUUGCAGGGACUAGUAGUUUAGGGUCACUUGAGAGAGUUGCUAGUUUUCUUCAGCAGAAAGAUGGCGGUUUGGCUACCGGGCUUGGGGUUUCCAAUGGGUGGAAAGCUGGCCGGAUUAGGGUGGUGGUUGGGGCAAGGGGGGCAGCAGAGGCAGUGGCCAGUUGGUCAAAUUAGAAUUGGAGGAAAGCGACGCGCGCAUGGCAUGCCCAUUGGCGAGGGAAUAAAGAAGAUCGCCCGGGGGGAUCGAUUUAUUUGUUGUUAAGGUUGGUUGAUCUUGUUUAAUGAGCCAACUUGUGGGGGGAGGGAGAAGCAGGUGUAUGUAACAAUCAAUCACGCGGAUUGUCAUUUGUACUGCAUGCGUCCAAAGGGAUUCUUCGAUUUUUCGACCUCUACUCCGUGUGGUGUGUGCCGCGCCAUCCAAAAGAAAAGGAUCCAUGGCACGCACAUGAGGGCAAGGGUAUGGUAAAAAGUUGCCAGACUUGGCAUGGUCGUUCGAUCGGAAGAUUGUUGUUUAGGUCAGUCCGGCCGGCCGCCGGCCACUUGUAGCUCGGCGACGGUAAUGCUCGUCGUUUUUGGCAGAGCUGGUGGUGGGGUGUGGUGGUUCCGCGCCGCGUGAACGAUGCCCCCACCGGAGAACCGGGCGCGAGUGAUCGUUCCAUGAUCCGUCCGUGCGGUUGUCUUCGUCGCGUCUCCCGUGUCCAGCGAGGACUUCUACUGCCCAGGCCUGGGCGCCUGGCUGGACAGCAACCGACCACCUUUUGCAUCGUGCUGUCGUAAGUACAGUAGCUCGCUCCCUCUCCUCUCUCUCUCUGCUCGGCCUCGGCUAUAUGCGUGCGGGGACGUCCGGCUGCGGCCACGGCCCACGGGCCGUCGAGAACGCCAAGACGUUCCAUCUGAUGAUCUGAUUCGGCAAAAGCAGCCAUAAACACUGUACUACUACUAUUUGUCCACUUCAAAAACGCCAGAACGCACAGGGGCCCCGGGGUUUGCUUGGAUCGCGUCAGUUCCGUACUGCUUCGUCCCAAGUGGGAUGAAGGAUUAGGAUUAUUAGUUGGAAAUUUUGUUCUCCUAAGAAUUACUACACCGUGAGAAGGUAAUUUUUAUAGGUAAGAGGAAUAAAAAAUGCUAGAAAUUCAUGUAUAAACUUAGACAACUUGUAGCACAUGGCUGAUCAAAAUUGCAAUUACCUGUAUUUGAUCUUUAACUUGUUUGCCCGAUUGCAACAAGCUUUAGUUAUAAUUUUCUAUCAGCAUUCAUACUCACGUUAGGUUUUGGAUUUUAGCUUAGAUCACGUCUUCGAAUAGUCGUCGUUCGUCGCUUUAUGAGACCACGACUUCAAGUGCUUAAUCGUAGAUCCGCUCUUCAUUUGAGUUGCGUUCUUUCGAGUUAUUGGUUCUAUUUGAUCAUGCUUGCUUUAUGCCUAUAUAGAAGCAUCACAUGCCACAUCGUCAGUGGGAGGGAGAGGUUUUCCAUCAGGUGUAUAUAGUUGGGCCUUGUUUAGUUCCCAGAAAAUUUUGCAAAAUUUUUCACAUUCUCCGUCACAUCGAAUCUUUAGACUUAUGCAUGGAGUAUUAAAUAUAGACGAAAAUAAAAACUAAUUGCACAGUUUGGUCGGAAUGGACGAAACGAAUCUUUUGAGCCUAGUUAGUCCAUGAUUGGACAAUAUUUGUCAAAUACAAACGAAAGUGCUACAGUGUCAAUUUUGCAAAAUUUUUCGGAACUAAACAAGGCCCAUACUCCGUAUUGUUAAUUAUACUCUUCUUGUCUUCUAAGUGCAUUGGUGCAAACACAAUUUAAUGUUUCGGCUUAGUGAUUUAGUGGGGUCCUCGCUGUGGGAUGAGAUAGAAUUCAUAGUGGAGAUUGACUUUCUAAGAUAUAGAUAUAUAGAGUAAGGCCUUGUUUACUUCCUCAAAAAUUUUGCAAAAUUUUUCAGAUUCCCCGUCACAUCGAAUCUUUAUAUGUAUGCAUAGAGUAUUAAAUAUAGAUGAAAAUAAAAAUUAAUUGCACAGUCUGGUCAAAAUUGACGAGACGAAUCUUUUGAGCCUAGUUAGUCCAUAAUUGGACAAUAUUUGUCAAAUACAAACGAAAGUGCUACUAUUUCUAUUUUGCAAAAAUUUUUUGGAAGUAAACAAGGCCUAAGCAAUAUUCUUUUCUAUAACUGGAUAUAUAUUAUAGAGUACCUAAUAAGAGCAGCUCCCACAACAUCUUAAGUACUAGCUCAUAGAAUAUUGUAUAUUCAGGCAGAAGAAGAGAGCAGUGGCAGAGAUUGACAAGAAAACAAGAGGAGGCCAUUAUCACUGAUUUCUUAUUUAAUAUGCAUAUUUAUUAAUUUUAACUAUCAAUUUAAUAGUUACUUAAUAGAAUUUUCAAUUAGCAAGGAGGGGCCAUGGCCCUCUUUGGCAUGCAUGUAGCUCCACCGGUGAGAGAUAAUGGUAAGCUAUCUCUUCGUAAAGAGCUAAGCUCACACACUCUCGUAUGAUUUAUGUGUCUAUAUGUUUACACAUUUUUUCUACAUUAUUAUGCUACUUUAUGUUUAUAUUUUCCUAAGUUCAGAUGAGUUAGCAAGUUGAAUAUAUUGUUUAGGGUGCCUUAUUAUGUUAGAAAAUGAAUAGAAAGAUAAAACAUAACGCUAGAUAAUUUUAUUAGUUGUAAGUAUGACGCAUGAACUUUUAAUGUCUGUUUCUUUUAAAAAUAUAGUGUGUGCUAGAGCACAAGUUCUUUUAAUUAUCUAAGUUUGAAUCUCAGACACGAUAUGGGUACAUUUUCUCUAGUACCAAUUUUGGGGUAAUAAGAAAUUAAAAGAAAAGGAUAUAAGAAAAAGUCUGACCGAUUGAAAAUAGCAGGAGAAGAUCAUGUACAAAAUGGGUUCAAAGAACAUGGAGUCAGAAAUAUCUAGAUCACACGGACUAGCUAACUAAAAAAUAAAUCAGCUGACCCUUUUGUCUUUCUGCCAUUUUUCUUUCCAAAAAAGGUUGCGUCAGAUCAAAACAUUUCGAAGGCAGGUACAAUGGAUGCUUACAACUAAGCGCACAUCAGCCUGAAACAUUAAUUGCUGCAAAUACAAUGUUUUCAGCCAAAACAAUGAUAUCUUGUCGACCCAACAAUGCUACAUUAUUACGUCAGACAAUAAUCGGUUGGGAAAACUCUCAAACAAUUCGGCGAUUUCGUUCUUUAUCUUGUUUUCAGGUUGCAUCCUGAUUGAACUGAUUUCUUUCUCUCUUUUUUUUCAACACUCCCGAAAAGUCAGAAAGCGCUGUGCAAAUGGUUUUAGUUAUACUAAUAGUGAUAACACACUGGACAAUUUUUAAAAUUGGUGGUGAUAUCACAAGGAUUAUAUACAUUAAUUAAUAAUUUCUUAGUCGUAGCUAGCUGAAAGUUUAGACAUGAUCUUCGCGAUGAUAUUUCCUAGUAGACCUCACCUAGCCAUGAUAGGAUCUGCAGGUUGAUGGAGUCGCUGCCUACGUGCGUGAUGCCAUCAGGUCCUGUAACGCUGUUCCAGUGGAAGAGCACACCCAUGGACAAACACAGGGACGUUGACAUGCAUGCCCUGAGAGGCUUAACUAUUUUCUUCCUAAAAAAUCAUACUAGUAAUUAGUAAAGAUUAUUUUUUGUAAAUUACAUAGUGCAAACAUAGAGGUCCGCAAACAUAUGCAUAUCCAUCCCUAUAAAAACACAUGCAAAUUAUACUUCUAAGGGCAUUUCUGAAAGGCAAAGAUUGCAGAUUUCGAAAUUAGAUAACUCGUUGACUCGUUGUUAAGGGACACAUCGCUUAUUACUUAAAAAAAAUAGUGCCGUCAAAUCCUAGAGUAAUUCUAAGAAAACAAGAACACCCAUGCUAAAAAGAGGACCUGAACACAUGUAGGUCGAUUCCAACAAAAAAAUGCAGUUCACAUAAUUGAAUCUUUGGACGCAUACAUUAAACAUUAAAUAUAGAUGAAAAUAAAAUUUAAUUACAUAGUUUGUCUGUAAUUUACGAGAUAAAUCUUUUGAGCCUAGUUAGUCCAUAAUUAAAUAAAAUUUGUCAAAUACAAAUAAUAAUCCUACAGUAGCCAGAACCAAAAUUUUUCAUGAACUGAACAAGGCCUAAGCAUGAUACUGGUGGGGUACAUUUAAGAAGCAGCGCUGACCAAUUACCAUUUUUUUUAGCAACCAUAUUUUGUUUCUAAUUUUUUUGAGCAACCGUGACACUAGUGGGGUACAUUUAAGGAACAGCGCUGAGCUAUUACCUUUUUCUGAGCUGUAUUACCUAAUGAUCUGUUUUGUUUAAGCACUUGCUAAAGUGGCCAGAGAUGGGCCGCAUCAAAUGGGCUUCGAUUCAGCUUAUAUAGAGUUAAUGGUCAAAUGAACCCACGACGGUUUAUGCGCAAAUUGCUGUGCUCUACACAAGCACGACACUUUCUUUUUCUUUUUGUCGUUUUUUUUUUGUAGAAAAAACACAUCCAAGUAUCCAACAGUUUGGAAAUUACCCCUUGAGACCUCGACAGGAAACCUGCCCAAAACGGAACGCGACCGACCAUGCUGCGAUAGCUACAUACAGAGGGGUCGUCGGGUCCAGUCUCGACUCUCGCCAGAGCCGCCUGCACACCGAAAACUAUUUUUUUCCAAGAUUCUUAAUUAUAUCAAAUUUUAUGGCACAUAUAUAGUGCAUUAAAAAUAGAUAAAAAAUAAAAACUAAUUACAUAAUUUACCUGUAAAUCAUGAGAAAAAUCUUUUAAGCCUAGUUACUUUAUGAUUGGACAAUGUUUGUUAAAUAAAAACAAAAUGCUACAGUACUCCAAAAUAAAAAAAAUGGAAAAUGAACAAGGCGAUAGUUUCCAAAAAAAAUUAUAAUUUUUCUUGUAUUUCUCGUCACAUUGAAUUUUGUGACUGUAGAUAAAAAAAUAAUUAAUUAUACAGUUUAUCUGUAAUAUAUAAGACAAAUCUUUUGAGUUUAGUUAAUUUAUAAUUAAAGAAUAUUUAACAAAUAAUAAAGAAGGCCCUCACGAAGAAGAAGCGACGACGCGGGUCGUGGGUCAAAGCGAGCGAUGCAUGGCAUGGUGUUGAUCUGCUGCCUCUGCCCUGCGGGACCACCUCCUUUCUACCUCUUCUCUUCGCGUCGAAGGCUCGCGCUCGUCCGUGGGCCCCACGGCCAGGCUAGUGGCCACGUCAAUCCGCAAGUACGGACGAACCCUUUCUCCACUGCCUUCCCCCGCCUGCCUGGUUGCCUAGCUAUAUAGCUAGCGCUGUUGCCUUGGCCACCAAGUAGGCAAGUGCCUGCCGCGCCUCUCAUUGAUUACUAGCGUGCCCCCUCCUCACCUGCUGCUGACCUUUGAUCGACCAGGAUUUCCCCCGUCUUCCAGCGCAAGCCACACUGGGAGUAGUAUAUUAUAAUAUAAUAAUAGGCACAAGGGGAGGGGCCGCGGCCAGGGGCGGAGAGGGAAGUGGUCGAUCGACGAUUCCACACGGUUCUCCUGCUGAAGAAAGGAGGAGCCAUGGGAGUGGGACUGAAGAGGCAGGAAAUGUGGCGGGCGGCGGCGGCGGCGGCGGCGGCGGCUCCGGCUCCGACGGCGAGGUAAGGCGAACGAUCCCCGGCCGUUGGUUCGCGUUGCUCUUGCUUGUCCUUGGUUCGCGAUCCCCUUUUUUUUUUUUCCGAGGCUGGGUUGCCGAUCGGCCUGGCGCUGGAUUCCCGUUGCGCUUCGAUUUGGCGUCGCCUGCUCUGGUGGGUUUUACUUUGCGGCCCGUCCGAGGGUGGUCUGACCUGAUCAAAAGAUCGGCGCUGCUUGAUUGAGUCCUUGGUGUGCGCAUUGUGCCGUUCUGUUUUCGCUCUGGGGGUUUGGGGCUCGUGGUAUUCGUCGGUAUUCCUCUCCGAUGAUGGAAGGACCUUACUACCUUAGCCUAGUCUAAUCUGAACUAUGUUUGCUGUGGGGCGUAUCUGGAGAACUGUGCGUACAGUUUGAGUACAGAAUUUGAUGGAGGGACAUAGAUUUCUCUGAAGCAGUUUUUUAUUGAGAAAUGGGUGAAUUUUUGACUGGUGAUUCAUAUUCUUAGUGUUCUUACAGUGAAUGUGGAGUCCAUGGUUUUUUAACCCAUUGUCAAUUUUCUAAAAAAAUCAUUCUGCUAGCGAUAUCUGAAAAAAGUUGGAGCAAUGUAGUCUAUUAAAUUUAUAUCAGAUUAUUUAGUAACCCCCCUCUCCCUGAAUUUUGAUGCAUUGUUCACCUGGCAGUAGCAUCUGUGUCAGUAGAGAUUAUAUUCUGUGAAAAAAUAUUUUAGCUUAUAAUUCCAUCGCAUCAGUGUCACUGGAGGUUACAUUAUGUGAGAUAUUUCUGCUUAGUUAAGCAUGUAAAGCUUCAGAUUGAACUCAGUUAAGAACUCUGCUUCUCCUUUGCAAUCCUACUGAUGCUGUUAAGAACUCUGCUUCUCUUUUGCGAUCUUACUGACCCCUGAUGGUUACGCACGAAAACAGAGCAGGUGGUAAAUUCUGCUUCACCUAGGCCAUAUGCAUUUUACAUUGUAAGAAUCCUUAACCAGUCUAUUGAAGCAACAAAGCAAAGCAUAUGUGGCAGGGUCCAAUUGAAUCUUGAUGAUACAUUCCUGCUGAUAAGUUUUUUAUUUCUUUAUGUAACUAAUCAUGUGACAUUGCCAUGGUUAAGUCAUAUUGGUUUGCACUAAUGAUCAGAGAUGUGUAUUGUCGUGCAGCGCAGCAGGAAGGCAGCAAGCCGUCGCCAGCAACAGUGCCACCGCCAAGCCGUUGGCCGAAAGGUUUCGGCCGGCACAGCGAGGGAUGGGUGGCCCAGACAACGCGUGCCACAACUUCCGCGGUGUCCGGCAGCGCCGGUGGGGCAAGUGGGUGGCCGAGAUCCGCGAGCCCAACCGCGGCAAGCGCCACUGGCUGGGCACCUUCGACAACCCCUUCGACGCGGCCGUCGCCUACGACCGGGCGGCCGUGUCCAUCCACGGCGCCCACUACGCGCACCUCAACUUCCCCGCGGACCACGCCGCCGCGGCGCCGGCCCAAUGCCAUCCAUCGUCCUGCUCUGCCGCCGCCACCACCGCCGACGUGUUCCAGGAGCACGAGGCAAAGCCAAGGGUUGCCGCUGCGCUGGGCGGCGGCGCAGUGACCGUCAGCCAGCAGCAGCCGCAGCAGCAGGGCACUCCAUGGAUUUCGCCUGAUGCUCCGUUCGGCGACGACUCUCAUGACAUUGCCAUGUACCUCGAUUUCGAUGCGGUAUCCGACAUGGUGCCCUUCUAUCCUGGCAUCAAGAGAGAGGAUUGCCAGCAUCAGGUAUUCGACGCCAACGCCGUUCACUCGCCGGUGUGGGCGCUGGGUGACUGAAAUGCUAUCUGAGGCAGGGUGAGAUGGAAACUUUGGUGACUUCAGUAGCAUCUGAUGGUUGUGGCAUGAUUAGUAGUGGAAUUUAGCUUUGCUGCUAGUUUCUUUAGAAUUCAGAUUGUUUAGCUAAGCUAGUAAUCAGUAGGAUUGUAGUGAUCUGCUGGUGGAAUGCUGUACAGGCUCAGAGAUCAACCUUUUGUUCCCGAUUACUAUGGAAUUUACUGAUGCACCUCAUGUCGUGAAAUGCUGAUUGGGUAAUUGGUAGGAGUAGUACCUAACAACCUUUUUUGUGGCAUUAGUGUUGGCUGAAUUUUUUUACAUUUGCUCUGAAGCGUGUUUCAAAUCUACUUAUACUCAAAGAACACGGUCACAAUGCUCCAAUCCUACCCUCAAUGGGUUAUGGGUUACCCAAUCCAAUUUUAGAUUUACUAUUCCUGAACUCACGACGCACCCAUAUUUAUCGCAAAACCCAUCUUUAUCGCAAAGUCCAUAAGGUUAGUGCUCCCCAGCCACAGAAAUUGUACCGAACAACCAGAGCUCGAUAAAAUCUCGAGGCUAUGAAGUUUUAAAACUUUUUUUGACAUGUCGAUCAUUCCUCUCCCCUUCUCUGUCUCUCGCUCCACUCCACCGUGCAAACCGCCAUGGAAGACACAGCCUGACGAGAGGGGCGCAGGGCAAGCAUCGGCGCCGGCAGAGACGCAGGGGCGAUGGACGACGGCAUCAACUGCUACGUGGUCCCGCAGACCACGGGCACCGGGCGGAACAUCUUCCAGGGCGGCAGCCCACUGCAGGAGUCGCUGCCGCUGCUCGGCGUGCAGCUCGUCCUCAUCGUCGCCAUCACCCGCGUCCUCUACUUCCUUCUCAAGCCGUUCAAGCAGCCCCGCGUCGUGUCCGAGAUCAUGGCACGUCCAUCCUAGCUCGCACUUUGCAGCGACGACGCCGCCAUGAACGUUCUUCAUCAGCUUGAUUGAAACGUACGUGCUGCUCCGUCUGAUGUGUUUCAGGGCGGCAUCAUACUCGGCCCGUCCAUGCUGUCACGCAGUCCGGCGUUCAAGGAGAUGGUGUUCCCGGCGAGGGGCGACGCGGUGCUGCACACCGUCGCGACGUUCGGGCUCAUGUACGCCAUCUUCCUCAUCGGCGUGCGGAUGGACCCGAAGCUCGUCGUCCGCUCCGGCAAGAAGGGCGUGAUCAUCGGCCUUUCCGGCUUCAUCCUCCCGCUGGCCAUGACCACCGCGGGCUUAUCCGGCGCCGCCAUGGUCUCGGAGCCCGACGUGACGAGGCGUUCCACGUUCCUGUUCGCGCUGGCCACGUCGCUCUCGGUCACGUCCUUCGCGGUGCUGUCGCCGAUCCUGUCGGAGCUCAGCCUCCUCAACUCCGACCUCGGCCGCACCGCCAUGUCGGCCUCGAUGACCACCGACGGCAUCGCGUGGCUCAUCAUGGUGGGGUACAUCCUCGCCGAGGCGUUCCUCGUGUCGGCGGUGACGUCGCUCUGGGCGUUCCUCUCGGUGGCCGCGCUCGGCGCGCUCAUACUGUUCGCCGUGCGCCCGGUCGCGCUCAAGGUGAUCGAGCGCACGCCGCCGGGCAAGCCCGUGGACGAGAACUACGUCUUGUUCUUCCUCCUCAUCGUGCUCCUCGUCGGGUUCUACAGCGACAUCAUCGGCACCAACUCGUUCCACGGCGCGCUGAUGCUGGGGCUGGCAAUCCCCGAUGGACCGCCGCUCGGCACCGCGCUGGGGGAGAAGAUUGACGCCAUGGUGUCCGGCCUGAUUCUGCCUCUCUACUACGCCAUGACCGGGCUCAGCACCGAUGUGUGGUCCCUGCAUUGGGGCAGGCUGCAGCUAGUCGUGCUCCUCGGAUGGUUUGGCAAGCUGGUCGGCGUCAUGGUGCCGUCGCUGUGCCUUGAGAUCCCCCUCCGGGACGCCGUGUCCCUCAGCUUGUUCAUGAGCUCCAAGGGCAUCGUUGAGGUCAUCACCUUCACCUUCUUCCUCACCAACAAGGUGAUCGCCGAAUCAUACAACAGCUCUGCAAAUGGAAGCAUCAAAUGCAGACACUAGUCAGUUCUGCAAGAACUCUUUCAGCGCCCUGGUAUGCUCAUCAAAUUGCUGCAUUUGAUCGGUUCGGUUCGCAGUUGAUCGGCAAGAACUCCUUCAGCGGCCUGAUAUGCUCGUCGGUGGCGAUCACGGCGGUGUCGGUGCCGGUGGCGGGAUUGCUGUACGACCCGGCGCGGCGCUACGCCGUCUACAAGCGGCGCACCCUGCAACACCUCAAGCCGGACGCCGAGCUGCGCAUCCUGGCGUGCCUCCACGACGAGUCCCACGUCCCGGGGACGCUCGCGUUGCUCGAAGCGUCGCACGCCACGCCCCAGACGCCCAUCGGCCUCUACCUCCUGCAGCUCGUCGAGAUCGCCGGCCGCUCCGCGCCGGUGUUCAUCCCGCACAACCCGCGCCGCAACGCGUCUCGGAUCGGCGCGCCCAACGCGCCGUCCACCGACUUCGACCGCAUCAUCAACGCCUUCUUCCGGCACGAGCUCCGGCGACCGGAGGGCGCGGUCUCGGUGCACCCGUUCACCACCAUCUCCCCGUAUUCCUCCAUGCACGACGAGGUGUGCCGCCUCGCCGUCGAGAAGCGCACGUCGCUGAUCCUCCUCCACUACCAUAAGCACCACUUGCUCGCCGGCGGCGUGCGCGCCUCAGUCGGGCUCCGCGUCGUCAACCGCAAGGUGCUGGAGGUCGCGCCGUGCUCGGUCGCGGUGUUCGUCGACCGCAACGCCGGGAACGUGGGGCUGUCCAAUUUCAUUCCGGCCCCGCUACAGGACUACUCAGGCUCUUCCACGGGCAGCAGUGGCCUCUCGAUGAUGAGCGGGCCACAGUUCCACGCCGCGGUGGCGGCGCUCUUCUUCGGCGGCGGCGACGACCGCGAGGCCAUGUCCUACGCGGCGCGCAUGGCGCGCCACCCGGGCGUGACGGUUGCGAUCGUGCGGUUCCUGCCAGCCCGAGGCAUCAAGGACGACCCGGCGGAUCGGCGGGUGGACAACCGCGCCAUCGAGGAGGUGAAGGCGCUCGCGGCGAGGAGCAGGAACAUGCAAGUCCGGGAGGAGCUCGUCGGCGACAUGGAGAAGAUCGUCGGGGUGCUGAGGGGUCUCGACAAGGCCGGCUACGACCUAGUCAUCGUUGGCAUGAGGCACAGGUGGUACCCGGUGAUGCCGGCGAACGGGCUGUCGGACUGGAGCGAGUGCCCCGAGCUUGGCGUCAUCGGCGACCUCCUCGCGUCCUCCGACUUCGACACGCCCUACUCGGUGCUCAUCAUGAAGCAGCAGGACCAGGCUGGCCUGAACGCCGCUGUGCCGGGAGCCCAGGACGAGUGGCACGGUGCACUGCCGCCGGGUCGGCAGCGAACCAUGUCGACGGCGGGAUCUAGCAUGUCCAAGCGAUAGGACCGCGGUAAACAACCCUUAUGUCAUCUUACCUUUGCGUCAUAGAAUUGAUACAUUCACGGAUUGACCCCUCUAGUUUCUAGGACUUGGUUCAAAUAGAUUUUCAGAUUGUUCUUUGGAGAUCCUGUGUACAGUUCAGGAUUAGCAAGGUAGUUAUCAUUCCAGUGAAGAUUUUUACUGUUUCUGUUAACUAUAGUAGCAUGAGCUGCACUGCACAAAUCAUGAAAAAACAUUCCUAGAGGAAACCUGCAUCAGCACCUAUUAUACUUCAUAGAACCCAAUUCGUGGUAAAGAAAAAAACCAUUAACAUAACAUUAGUAAUGCUGGAAGGACAUACAAGGGUGAUGCAGACAUGGAGAAUCCAAAUGCAUCCCGAUAGAAGUUUGACAGUCGGGAUCGUUGUAGUUUAGAAUCAAGGCAUGCUACUGUAUCAACUAAUCAUAAGCAGAAUUUUGUCCUGCUCCUAGUUAUCAACUAAUCGUCCCGAUAGAGUAUGCAAUGCAGCAAUAUAAUACUACAUACAUACCCGAAAAAAUCAAUAAAGAUUUAAAGAUUAACCCAAAUGACAAAAUGACCCUGGAUAUAUCAAACAAGUGACAUUUUGAAAAUUCAUUUUGUCUACAGUUCAUCAGUUGAAUGUACCUAAAGUAAAAUCAGACAGAGAGCCUCCUACGCAUGGCAUACCUCAUUAUUGCCAAAAUGUUUGACCAGUGUCCAAUAACCUUUACCGCAGCAAAACCAUCAUUCCUAUUACAACAGAAACUCAUUGCAAGAUUUUUGCUUGAUUACCUGGACCCCAAACAGUAGAAAGCAUGAGUAAUACUAACCAGUAGAACUUUUGCCGAUAGCACGAUAAAGACCUCAUGUCAACAUUCAUCAUUUUUCUUGACAAUGUAUCUUGUGUUGCUCAUCAUAAAAGUACUGUACAGUGAAAUAUGAAUGAUAACCAGAACCCGCAUGCAGUGAAUGCGUCGGAUUUCAUCAUAGAAGUGGCAAGAAUCCAGAUUAUGUAUGCUACAGUAAAUCCACCCCUGAUUUGCAGGAGCAAUCAGCAUAUAUAGCAAAUCGACCUGACGGCUAAACCUCACUCAGACAAUUGGAUUCUGAUGCCUGCACAGUACACACAGCCUUCCACAGCACUCUACUGAGAGCGGAACUACACACUUUUGAAGCUCUGUAUUUCCUUAUUUAUUUCAUGAUAAAAUAAUUUACAUAUCAUAUCCACAGUAGUCCAGGUCAAUUUUCAUGCAUGAGCUUUCGACACACUAGUAUGAGGGACUAAUUAGAAUGGUGGAACCAUGUGUGACAAAAAGCAGAUAAAAAUCGCCUUAAAAGCCCCCUGUUUCUGGUGGAGGCAUGUUUGAUCUUCUAAAGCGAUAAAAAAACAUGUACUGCUUCAAAACAUUCAUUAUAUAUACCAUUGCAUUGCAUAUCAACAAGAAAGUACCAUGCCCUGGGGGCGACGCCUCAAAAACCAUGGUCAGAGGUCAGUACUGAAAAGUCGGAAGAUCUAGAAUAUUGUUCACUUCUGUAUUAGGGGAACAUCACUCGAUUUCCAGAGUUCACAGUGCUCUAGUAAUUCAAAUAUCAACCGCUAUUGAUGUUAGACAAACUUAGGUUGCUUCUUUUCAACACAACUGACGAAGCACAUAGAUUGAAUAGAAGAGCUUCAACAAACAAGAAAAUGUGAUUCUAUAGGGAGGUAACACCAAGCUAACUUCAUGAAGCAGCAUGAAAGUUUAGCUGUAUUUCUAUGACCUAACCUUCUUGGUUAGUUGGUUCUAAGCCAUUUGAAGACAAACACUGAAAUGUCAUAACUGAACUACACAUAUAUUCAUUCAUUCAUUGGUUGGUUACUCAUAACUUCAGUAGGGUGGUAAAAGUUGCAGAUUAUUAAACAUAGAAACUGAAAUGACAUGUUUUCUCCCACUCUUUCAGAAAGAAAGGAAAGAGCACAGUCAAAUAGCAGUCAGUUGUGCAGGAUAUUUGUGAUUUGUAACAGCACCAGUUACUAGACUAAAGAUCGACCUAUCAUGACCACAGUUAUCAUGAGUGGACAUUUAUGCAUAAUCUAUUCACAGUGAAGCUUUAAUUUUACUUCAUAUAAGCUAGCAGUGAUGAAUUUUCAAAAGGUAUAAUGGGUAACAAGCUUUCUUCAGCCUCACCUGGUGACACAGCAAUUCAUCACUGCUUCCAUAUAUCUAAUAGAUGGAAAUGUUGUGGCCUGCGACUCGGUUUCAUGGUUUGACCUCCAUUUUGAGCUGCAGAUACUCUAGCCAUCAUAGAGUUAGAUCAUCCACAAAGUUAUCACAGGAAAAACUUAGAAGUUCAAAAGGUUGAGCACAAACUUACUGAAUCAAAUAUUGAAAUCCACACAUAAUACUUAAUGGGGUUAAAUUAAAGUAGUGCUCGAAACAGAAAUAGAACCCUAAUAUUGUUACAAAAUAAUCAUGCUACUCAUUGAUACAGACACACCUACACACAUAUACAACAUUUGCCAAACUGAAUAACUUUCUCAUGGAGGACAAAAACAGUGAUGCACAGUUGUAAUUCGAGACAACAGCAUCACCAUAUGUGAGUACAAGACAUUAACCACGAAUGGAGAAUCCAUGAUAGCAUCUUCACAAGUUCAGAAGGGCAGAACCUGCAGUAUAACAGGCUACAAGGCUGCAUAUCAUUUGUCACUUUGCUGCUCCUUCAAACAAGUGCUGGAUAUGGGCUACAACAUCCUCUGGAGUGUAUUUGAUGUACAAAUCACGCCCGGUUUCAGGAGAAGACUUCAACUUGGCAAUUAACGAGGCAUAAACUGGCAUCACUGUCUCCUCCACGGCUGCCCUAAUGUCCACCCUUAGCUGGUCAUCUGCUAUCAUCCAUUUUGACUGUGCUUCAUAGAUCUCCUCGAAGUAUGUAUUAAACAUACGCAGUUUCUGCAGCAUUGCCUUGGCUGGGAGUCCACCAAUGCCUGGACUACCAGUCUGCAGCACAGAUGUAACCUUGCCCCAUGUUGUCCGCUGAUAAUCCAUGCUCCAGCGGCGAACUCUAGUUGUCAUCUGCUUGAUCCACUCAUCACCAAGUAAAACACCCAGCUCACUGUCAUUCACCUUCUGUAUGAUGUACUUGCCAUUAUUCAUCAAGAAGAUAGAAGCAAGAGACGGAUCACGGUAUAUCUUAGACUUCGUAUCCAAAUUCUUUUGAAGAACAUCCAUGAUCCAUGCGAUGUGCACAGCAAGGGAUGAUGUGGGGCGGUCAGGGUCAACAGCCACAGGCGCACCUCCAUUAGCACCAAAGUCACCUUCCAUCACCUCUUCCAAUGUCUGCCUCGACCCACACGCAGCACGGAGAUAGUUCAUAACAUACCGAGUGAUAGGAUGUAUGACGCCACCUUGGGCAGCAACUCGGGCAGGGUCACGGCGGAUGAGAUUUUCCAACUCCAUAAAUAUACCUUUGAUAGAGGACCCCAGUGUGUUGCACAUCGCGGAGACCUCCGCACGGAGUGCAGCAGAGUAUGGGUCAGAGAACACAGGAUCAAGGUCGGGGAGAAUGUCACGCACAGCCUCGUACAUGUCAACGACGCGGAAGAGGCGCUCCGGCGCGCGGCUUGAGGAAGAGAUAGCGUCACCGAACGAUAUGAGCUGCAGAGCCUGGGUACGCACGGCGGCAAUGAAGGCAAGAUCGCCGAAGGGGGCGAGGCCGUCGAAAACACGGUCGCAUAGGCGGCGCUCACUGGGAAUCAGGAUGCGGAACACCAUGUUGAAGGCCGGGAUCCAGCGGGCGAUGUCGAACUCAAGCUCCUCCCAGGGUGAGGCAUGAACCUCCUCGGCGGUGCGGGAGCGGACGCCAAGGCGCGCAACGCUCUCGUCGACAAAGCUGCGGCGCGCCGCGGCGUAGGCCUCAGCGCACUCGCGGCCAAAGCCGGCGUCCACCAUCCUCCUGGCGAUCUGGUGCACGUUGGCGAUGGACCCCGGGGAGAGAGCAUCGAUCACGACGUCAUAGUCCGUCACCGGCUUGGCGAUCGGGAUAGGCUCGUCGCCGUAGCCGUCCCCGCCUCCGAAGUCGUCGUCGUCGUCGUCGCUCCCGUCCGAUCCGAACCCGCCAGGCACCACGGGGGCGGCGUCGUCGGGGCGCUCUAUGAGCGCCCUGAACUCGUCCUCCAGCCGCGCCAUGCACCGGCUGAGCAGCUCGUCGGCGCGGUCGAGCAGGACGCGGUUGGUCCCCGCGGCGUCCAGCUCCUGCACGGUGCCGAUGAGAUCGUCGACCGCCUCCAGGAACGCGUCCGCGUCGGCGGAGUCCGCCCAAAUCAGCCGGUCCAUGGCCACGAACUGCGAGAUCUGGCGGUCGAGCGCGCGCACGGUCCGCUCCAUGGACGUGAUCGGCGGCCUCGGCCCCGCGGCCGACACCGCCGCCGCCGCCACGGGCGGCGGGGGCAGCGGCGGCGACGUCGGCAUCGAGCGCUCCCCUACAAUUCCUCCCCCUCCUCCUCCUCCUCCGCCGCCGCCGCCGCCACCACCGGACGCAGCGGCCGCCGCCGCGGCGGUGCGCGCGGCGUAGAGCUUGUCGAGCGAGAGGCGGCCGUCGUAGUUGGAGAAGACCUUGAGGAUGUCCUCCGUCAUGGUGUCGCUGCUCCCCAGCGUCUGCACGAUGUGCUGCACCGUCGCGAGCAGCUUCUCCUCGCCAUCCUCCGCCAUGGCUCCUGGGUCGGGGGGCGGGGGCGAGACGGCUACUCCCGCGGCCGGAACGGCAUCACCCGGCGCAGGCUGGCUCCGAUCUGGAUGAGGGCUCCACGCGGCUUCUGGAGGUGGUUGUGAGGGGAGUAGACGAGGCGAGGCGAGGGGGGGAGGACUUCUCGCUCGGGAACGCGGUGGCGUCUAGCCGAGAGCGACCGCGCGUGGACCAGCGGCCGCUUGGUAGACUGGUCAGGGUCAGUGGUGACUGGUCCGGGACGGGCAGCGCUCGAGUAGCAGUGCCGGGUGCGCGGCGUAACUUGCGGCGGGCGUUGGAUGGUCCGGUCACGGACGGUCGGAUGCACGGGGGCCCUGCUGACGCUGAUGGUGAAGAAACGGCGUGGCCUCGGGGGAUGCGAAAGGCAAAGGUCGUGCCGUGUCGUGCGUGACAAAUUGACAGCGUCGGCGUGGCACAGCCGCUUGUCUGACAGGUGGGUUUCAGACGGGAAAGGCGGGAACGGCUUUCUCAAAACUCCAAGCUGCUAGACUGCUAGUAGUCCGGCUCCACCACGUUUGGGACGAACGACGUCCCUCCGGGAGAGCGUGCCUGUUUGGUUCCGGUUCAUCUCUAUUCUGCUGUUGUUUAUGAGCAAUUACAGCAGUAUAAGCCUAAAAACAGAGUCCUUAUUUUUUUAUUUAGAGUAAUCUCUUUAUUUUUGGGUGUCGACUUUUCACUUCAAUAGCACCACCAAAUAAAGGACUCUAAAUUCAAAUUAGGAGACAAUGACAUGUUGGAAUCCAUUCAUCAUUGAGUUAAAUCUUUCUUCCUCACAUCCUUCAUACACAGUCUAGGACGCAAAGGAGAUAAGAUAUCUCGAUGCAUUGGGUCAGCGCACGAGUGGCGGGGAAGGGGCUGCACCCAUGUUUGUCAUAUCACAGACUGGUCGUGGGGAAGGGAGGAGUAUUGUCGCUACCGCGCGGCCGCAUGAAGGGUAGGCUCGACGAUUAUGGUUGGGGCUGCUUCCGCACAUCGAGGAGGGGCCACUCUCAGCAGAGGCGACGAGGACGAGGCCUAGUGGUGGAGGUCGGGGGUGGAGGGAGGGAGCACGACAGUGGAGAUUGGCGCUGGAGGGAGGUGUGCGAGCUACGUCUGUACGGUGUGGGGAGGUAAUGGCCAAACCAUGCAGGAUGGGGCUGGGGUGUUGGGCCAUCACGAAUGAAGUUUGCAGGGAAGAUUUGGGUUCCCACCUUAAAAUAGGGGCUCUAAUAGAGCUCUGUUAGAGUAUUAUUUUUAAUAUGGGUACCUAUAUUUAGCUAUGGGGUUCAAUUAGAGGCCCUGCUGAAGUUACUUUUAGGGUCUGGAUCCUGCUAAAAUGCACUACGAUUUCUACAAACGGGAGGGAGCGAGCUAGAAGAGCUUCAAUUUGGUGGCUAUGGCGCUCCGCCAUAGUGCUGCUAUAGGGCUAAAGUCGGAGCCAUCGGAGCUCCACCAAAGAGGCCCAAGGCUUCAUAACAGAACUCGCAAGAUAGAUACUUGCUCUAAAAAAUAGCUUUUAUUUUCACUCGGUAUACAAAGACUUGGGAGAUCAAUUAAGCGUCGUGCUACUGCAGUUGUUGUUGUCACUCGUGAGAGCAAAGAAUAGUAAUAUGGCCGUAACUAUUAGCCGAAUGGGUACAGAGGCUUAGAAAAAGAGAGUAAAUACAAAGAAAUAAAGAAAUAUACUCAUAUACACAUCGAUAUAGGAAAAGCAACCUCGAUGAUUUGUUAUAAGAGAAAAACACUGCUGAAUAGCUGACGGAUUCAACAGACAAGCUCAAACAAACAAGCUCCAUCGAGGGCAUUAGGCCUUGAAGUAGCCACAAAAGACAUUGGCAAUACCCAUUCCAUACAGCAUAAUCGGUGCUCCCUAUGAUUGUGUUGAUCAUCAUGUAUCUUUAAGGAUUUGAUAUCUGAUUGCCAACGCUGAUUUUGAGGACUAUCUCUGGCAAUGGUUGAAGGACAACUCAAUGUAGCUGAUGCUUUGCCACUUCUAAGUCUGCUAUCAAGCAGAAGAAUAGUGCUCUGAAAUGCUUUCAACUCUAUCUAUCUUGAAGAGAUCUCUAGUGAGCAGGUGCACGUAAAAUCUUAUGCCAAAUAAAAAUAUCUUGGAUACCUGUGAGGACAGUUGGAAAAGCACUAGACCAACUAGAUUUUGCACCUCGAACACAUGUACCCGCCAAUGCUGAUUUUGAGGACCAUCUUUGAUGAUUGUUGAAGGAUAACUCGAUGUAGUUGACGCUUUGCCACUUAGAAGUUUGCUAUUAAGCGAAAGAAUAGUGCUCUCAAACGCUUUCAACUUUAUCUAUCUUGAAGAGAUCUCUAAUGAAUAGGUGCACGUAAAAACUUAUACGAGAUCAAAAUUUGUUGGUGUAAGUGCAUUAAGCCACUUAAUGUGUUUUGGAUGAUUGAAUGACAACCAUGAUUAAAGGAACUAAUGAUCUUGCUGAGUGUGUAACAGGGAAAAGCUAUCUCACAGUUAUGUGAUCCAAGUUUACAAAAGCCAAAAUUAUGUAUUGUUGUAUGAAGCAAUCUAGUUCAAGCACAAAACAACAAUGCAAAUGGAAUUAUUGAAAGAGGCUUCUUUAUUGUGAAGAUAGCUAUCACUCAUAUGAAAGCAAAAAUGAAAAGUAUAAAAUUGAUUGGAUGAUUCAAAGCAACAUAUGACUUGAAGACUUGAGAUGGUGAAGAUAGCAAGGAAAGGCUUCGAGGUACUAAGCAAGGGUAAAGGGCAAGCGACGGCUUGACGACCGAAAAACCUAGCUCGGGUGAAGAAGGAAUUACUUGCAUUUAGUUGAGGUACUAAUCAAGCUCUAAGGGUCAUGUUGAUGUGGAGGAUCAAAUCUACUAUUGAAGUAGUUAAUGGAAAUGACUUGGUACAUUUGGAGUCAAAUCUAUCUAUGGAAUGGAACCAAGUCAUGUGCUCAAGAUGGCUAUGCUCAAGAUGAAAACAAGUUUGACAUGAUGACAUCCUCAGCUUAUCAAGAAUUGAAAGAAAGGCUUUGGUUUGAUGGAAGCUUCUCAAGUGGUUUCAAUUUGAUUUAUCUUUUGAUCUUGAGUUGAUAGGAAAGCCGUACUAUUAAGAGGGAUGCAUCAUGAUCAUGGAUUAAUACUCUCUAGUGCUCAAGUCAACCCAUGUGAGGUUUUAGAGAGACUAACCUGAGAGUUGAACUCUUUGUGCACAGGCCGUGCAUACCGGACGCGUUCGGUAUGAGUACUGUUGCGCAUACUGACUUUUUGAGUUGCGGUGACCAGGGAGUUGUUCCAGUGCGCGUCAGCUCUUCCGGUGCUCGUCAGUAGUACUGACUUCUCGGAAGUUCCGACGUAGGCUUCACCGUGGUAGGGAGUAGCAAGCUAACAGGGGUAAGUCUUUUGGCCUCGAUCAUAUCGGACGUGUCCAGUAUGAUACCGGACGCGUCCGGUAUGGCCAACGGCUAGUUAACGGCUAGUUUUGAAAACUGUCUUUAAAUACCCCUCAGCCCUCCUCUUUGAGGGCUGCUGAUUCUACUGGUUUGGUGACACAUUGCUGAGCUUUGCUAACUCUCGACAACCCUCUCUUUGUGAGUGUUUGGUCUAGAUUGACAAAUCCUUCUUGUGGGUUGAAAGAUUUUCGGUUUUGAGAGCAAGCCACCACUUGAGCACUUGAGCAUAUUGUCUAUUUCGUGACUUGCAUUUGUUACUCUUGGACUCUUCAGUCCUAGACGGUUAGGCGUCGCCGGAGAGCACCCAAGUGUUUGUGGUUGCCUCGGAUUGUUUGUGCAGGUCGGAUUUCGCCUCCGCAAGGGAAGAAAUCAUCUAGUGGAAGGAGGAGUUGGAGUUGGAAGAGACUCCGGCUAGAGUUACCUUCGCGGUAUUCUCUAGGGAGGACCUUUGAGCUGGAGUGACCUUAGUGGUAUCCUCUAGGUCAUCGAGUGUCUUACCCGUAGCCCCCUCAACGGAUAUUAGGUCUCUACGGAGACCGAACUUCGGUAAAACAAAUUUUGUGUCUUAUCUCUUGUGUGAGCUUCUCUUCAGGGUUCUAGUAUCAUACAUACUGUGAUUGAGACCCUUGCAGGGAGAGGAAGAAGUUUCACAGCACAAGGAUUGAAUAUCCUCUGCUCGUGAAUUCCGGACGUGUCCGAGUUGGACAGCACAGGACAUCUUAUAUAAAUUGUAUUAUCUGUGUUGGAUACCUUUUUGUAGGGUGUUGUAUUUCUAUACAUCAUCAUAUAAGCUGUGUGUAGGUUUUGGAGGAGCUGAAGAACAGAAACAACUAGGUGUUGUGUGCUCGUGUAUCUCGGACGUGUCCGAGUCGAUACCGGACGCGUCCGGUAUUUGCGAGUUGUCAAUAAUAUUUCUUUCUGUGAUCUAAUCUCUGUGGUGCAGGUGUUAGACUUAUUUAAUAUUGUUUACAACUGUUUCUCUAAUUAUCUUUGUGUGGAGUUUUUCAUUUGCGUGGAAAACUUUAGUUCUAAUCGUUUCCGCAUUUUAAGUUGUAAAUUUUCAGAAACGCCUAUUCACCCCUCUCUAGGCACAUCCUUGGUCCUUUCAGUUGGAUACUUGCGAGGACAGUUGGAAAAGCACUGGACCGACUAAAAUUUGCAUCUCGAACACAUGUACCUACUUUGUCCCUCCCUUGCGGUAAGAGGCCUAAGUUGGACGCGCUUUGGCCAAAGUGGGACCCACUUGGGAGGAACCAAUAUGUGGAGUCGGGAUCCACACAUGAAUGCCACGCGGUGCCACAAAGAUCAAUUGCUUAUUUGGAUCAUCCAAAUAUGCUUUGAGAUUCGUGUUGUUAUGCUUUUAUCUAUUGUUUUUAUAUUUUUUUCCACUGUUUCACACUCUUUCUCCAUUGUUUCACAUAUCUCGAUGCAUAAUAAAUGGUGCGGAGAAGCAAUGUUGUAGACAUAAAAAAACUGCUUUCAAGAAAGAUUGCUCUCGUGAAGGAAUGGACCAAAAGAAAUGCAGCAUAUCGGGCACACCAACCUCAGCUCCCUCAGUCAUCUCCGACGGAUCUGCUCGAAUUGCAACAUGGCGAGCACUGAAUGAGGCAAUGGCAGUGGAGGCAUCCGCAUCCUAGGCCCCUUGAGGAAUAUAAACUCAGGAACUCAAACUAAACCGAUGCAGGCCCACUAGGCCGAAGUGGAGACAAAAUCCACGGUAGACCAAGCCAAUACGAGGCAAAAUCGGCCGACCCCAAGGCAAUGGUAAAAAAAGCCCAACCCGAGAAGAUGAGAGCCUGGUGAGCCGUGAGCGGCGAGGAGUGACUUGGAUUGGAAAAAGGUCCAUUUAGGUCCCUUAACUUCGAUAGAAGUUUGUUUUUUACUCUUGAACUCUGAAACCACGUAAAAUACAUCUUUCAACUUUUAAAACUCUGCACGUUAUAUUAUUGACCUGAUUUUGAAAGUGGUUUUGUCCUUUUAUUUUAUUUAUUUGAGCUGAUUUUUUUGAAAUCAUAGUAAUUUACAUAAAAAUUAUAAAAUAGAAAAUUUAAUUUUGUUGGACUUCAUAUGAGUAGAUCUACACAUUGAAUAUAUAAUGUGAUAUGAUUUAGUAUAGUUUUUCUGCUGUAGCUUUAUAUCUAUGUUUUUUUAAUAAUUAAUUAGAAUAAUUAUAGGUACAGUUUCUAUGAUCCAAUUUUGAUGAAAUUUAUAUGGUGGACUAAUUAUUCUAGUAAAAAUUUAAUACUCACUGGAUCAUGUAUUACUUAGUUAUAGAUUUAUUUAGGUUUAUGUUUGUUAAAUCUUAAUAAAUCUAUAACUAAGUUAUACAUGAUCUAAUGAGUAUUAUAAUUUUAUCACAGUUUUAAACAUAUAAUAAUUAGCACAACAUAAAAAAUUUACCAUAUUGGACUAUAGAUACUGUAGCUAUGAAUUAUUCUAAUUAAUUUUAGAAAAAUAUAGAUCAAAAGUUACAACAAAAACUUUAUACUAAAGCAUACUAUAUUAUAUAUUCAUUGUGUAGAUCUACUUAGGCCCUGUUUAGAUUUGAAAUUUUUUUGGUCAAAGUGGUAAAAUUUUUUGUGGUCAGAACACGCGAAAAAUUUUGGAUGUUUAGUUUGACAAUUUUUUUUUCUGACACAACUUGGGCUGCAUGCAUUUACAGUUGUCAUUGCUGAGCUUCUAUGGGAGUGCGUGCACAGUUGCAGCCCAAAAUUUUUGUUCCAAAAUUUUUUGGCCCCGUUUAGUUCCCAGGCCUCAAUUCCACAAUUUUUUUUCUUUAGGCCAAAAAAAUUUCAAAUCUAAGUAGGCCCUUAUCUAAAGUCCAACAAAAUUAAAUUUUCUAUUUUAUGAAUUUUAUGCGAUUUACUAUAACUUUUUAAAGAUUCGGCCAAGAUAAAUAAUAAAAAAAAAGACAAAGGUGCCUUAAAAAACCGCUCAUAACCAUGUCAAGGACAUAAUAUGUACGGUUUCAAAAAGUUGAAAAAUAGUUUUUUGUCCGAUUUUAAAGUUCAGAGAUGAAAAUAAAAUUUCACGAAAGUUAAGGAAUCUCAAAUGGACAUUUUCUACUUGAUUUAUGGAGGGCCUUCAUUUCGGCGCUGAAGAGGAUGACCAUCCAAAGCCACGCACAACCAAGGAGCGACUUCACUGAGUCACUGGUUUUAGUGAUGUGAUCCACCAACUUAGUCUCGUUGACAUGAAAAUAUGCCUUGCAAAUUAUUUUAAAAAUCAUUUCUUAACCCACAAAACUUGAGAGUCUUAGAUUCCUUUUAAGAAUCUGUUUGACAUAGCUUCUUACAUGCAGCUCCUACACCAACUUCACAAGAGUUAUUUUUUCUCUUUGUUCAUAAAAUGAAGUUGGGGCUAGAAGAAGCUACGAUUUAUGGUUCCUUGGAUUAUGUAGUGAGUCUCUAGGAUUGCAAAGGAGCCCGUCCCAAUGGAGCCUAGUAUGGGUCUGUUUGGUACAGUUCAUAACAAUUUCAUGAGUUGUUGUAAACUGUUUUGUUUUGGCCAAACAUUUAUUUCUAAAACAGUUUCAUUGGUGAAACUUUUUUUCUUCUUCUAUCAUAAAGACAUGAGUUAGAAUGCAACUGAAAAAAGUAACUUGUUAUAACUCUCUUCUUUAUUUCUCUCUUAUGCAUAAAGUAGUUGGUGAAGCUAUUUUAUUAAAAUUUUUUUCUAAAACAGCCCAACUUCAUCUAGAAAUUUGGUUAUGAAACUAUUUUGUAGAGAAGUAGUUUUACUAUUGAAACAGGGACAAACAUUUCUCUAGACUAGAGUACUAGACUAGACACAACGUGACACGUUCCCAACACAUUGUGACAGCCCAACCAGGCAACCACGGAAACUGGCAGGCAACAACACAUCUUUUUCCCUGUUGAAGGCGAACGCAAAACCGCAAAGACAACACAGCACCAGCCACCAGCAACAGCAGCGAGGUUUCCCCCAAUUCCCCAUCUCUCCCGUAGGCCGUAGCAGAGCACGCGCGAUUCUGAAUCCCCCGUCGCCAUGGCCUCCGCACCGACGCCGCCGCCCCUCCUCCCGGUGACCAACCCGGCCCCCGGAUCGUCCCCGGCCACCACCGGAGGCUCCGAUGCGCCGAUCGCCACGCCGGCUUUCCGGCUCUUCCUGAGCCGGCUCUCCGACUCGGCGCGGCGCUCGCUGUCCGAUCGCCGGCCGUGGGGGGAGCUCCUCGACCGCUCGGCGUUCUCGAAGCCGGACUCCGUCUCCGACGCCACCUCCCGCCUGCGCCGCAACCUCGCCUACUUCCGCGUCAACUACGCCGCCGUGGUAGCCUUCGCGCUGGGGGCCUCCCUCCUGGCGCACCCCUUCUCGCUCCUCAUCCUCCUGGGCCUCCUCGCCGCCUGGUGCUUCCUCUACCUCUUCCGCGCCUCCGACCAGCCCGUCGUCCUCUUCGGCCGGACCUUCUCCGACCGCGAGACGCUGCUGGGGCUCGUCGGCGCCUCCUUCGUCCUGCUCUUCUUCACCUCCGUCGCGUCGCUCAUCAUCUCCGGCCUGCUCGUCGGCGGGGCCCUCGUCGCGGCGCACGGCGCGUUCCGGGUGCCCGAGGACCUCUUCCUCGACGAGCCCAACGCGGCCACCGGCAACAGCGCGGCCCAAGGGCUGCUGUCAUUCCUUGGCGCACCCGGAUCUGGGGUUUGAGGCGGCGGACGGCAAGAUCCGGUAGGCUUUUUGGGCUCGACGAGUUCGUAUUAAGCUGGAAAUUGUGUGGAUCUAGUCUUGUAGCAGUAGCUUAUUGCUUCCCCUGUUCCUCUUCGUGUGUACCUUCAGAUCUACUGGCUUAGUGAUGGUUUCGAUUGAUGCACCGGCUUCUGCGCAGAUCAGCAAAUUUAUCGAGAAUUUCACCCUGUGGUUGAGUUUAGUGCCAAGUAUUUGAGUAAUAUGAGUUUGUGGUGUCAGACUUUUAAUAUGGAUUGUAUUGUAUCUUCAUUUCUCACACAGUGAUGAUACGUUAAUAUGCUUCACUCGUUCAGUUGUUCCAUUAGUAUUUCUUUGUGCUAUACUUGAUAUAUGCUUGUGGAAACUUGUGACAAUUUCUGACCAUGAGUGCUGCGGGGUGGCAUGUGGUAUGAUAUAUGUUGUUAGCUACUGUAUGUCUUUGCUUUAAAAUCAUGCUAGAGUAUGAGAAAUUGUUUGAUCAUCUACUAUUGCUUGAACUUUGUCUUGUUAACUGCUGAUGUUGUCUGAAAGAUUUUAAAGAAUGGACAAUCAGUUCCAUAGUAUUUUUGUGAUAGUGCCCUGGUUUUUUCUUUUUAAAAAAAAUUAUAGAAUCCCAUCAUUAGACAAAGAAACACUGGUGUGGCAAUCCUUUUGAGCUGGUCUUUUAUUGAUUCACACCACUAUCAGAUUUUGUUCUAAGUGGGAAAAUUGUUGAAAUUUUAAGAUCAAAACGAGAAAGAUAAUAAACUUUUAGGCCUUGUUUGGAUGUAGUCGGAUUCGCAUCAAUCCACAUGUGUUGGAGUGGAUUGGAGUGGAACACAUGUGGAUUGAGGUGAAUCCGACAACAUCCAAACAAGGCCUUACUGGGAUCGGACCAGUUACUGGUUUCCUGUUUCUGAAAUCUGGUUAUAGCUGUAUACCUGUUAUCUUAUGUUUACUUUCACCGGAGAUGUCCAGGAAACUUUUGACAGAUGGUUUCUGAAAUUAUGAGCUGUAUGUAUAUUAUCUUUUGUUUAUUCUCCUUGGAGUUAUGAACUUGCUAACUUUACUUGGUACUGUCCUUUAUUGUUUAGGGCUUAAGAGAUGAAGGAGCAGUAGUGCAUUACUCAGUUUUUUAUGACCACUUGAUCUUUAGCCCAUAGCAAUUGACAAACAGUUCUAGUUGAUCUCGACUUAUCGCAAAAUAACAGAUUUCUUGUUUCAGAAAAUUACAUCCAGAGUUUAUCAACUAACAUUUUGGUGCCAAGAACCUUGUUAUGGGGUAAAUAUUCCUACCCAUUGUUAUUAAGAUUGGAGUUUCUACUGCAUUUGCAUUUGCAUUUGCAUGGUAGAUUGUCUCACUGUCGGCCUCCAGAUAUAUCAAGGUGGUCUGUAUUUUUCAUGUUGACUAUGCAAGAUACUGAUGACUGGGUUUGCUUAGAUGGAACUGGUGGCGUGUAGUAUCUUGCUAACAGUAUUAUGUUAAGUUUGCUGCUGAAAAUCAUACUACCCGCUGCAAGUAAUUAAUCUGCGGCACAUUGAUAUGAUUUGCAUAAUAUUUAACGAAAGAUGCAAAAUGGCACAAUUUUGCAGCAGCGCUGUCUUGUGAUGUUUGUCGGUAAUGAACACAUUUUUCAGUCAGAAUCAGCAUUACUUUUUAGUCAUGGAAUAGUGUUUUCCUCUGAUAACAUCUCAACAUCAACAUUAAUAGUAGUCGCAGAAACCAUAAGCCGAACAACCCUUUCGCUUAUUGAACGUGACCUCAGUAUGUGAUUUAUGACAAAAUAAUUUUCUGAGCUUGCUUUCUUGCAAGCUUGUGCUCUUUUUGUUUUGGUGGAUACUUGUGCUAUGCUUGGUUUUGGUUAUGCUGGGAACAUGAAUUGUGGUGGUUGUAUAGACAGCAUCUGGAAUAGAGGGUCAAUUUUGAUCGCUUUUACUUUCUCGGUCCCAAUCGUUUUGGUGUAUCUAGUCUAGGUGCGUAUAUUUUGUUAUGCAUCAAUAAUUCAAUCGGAAAUGAUUUAUUACGAGCGUGCAAGCCCUGAAAUUGUGGCAUGCACAUUUCACCCGUUGUUCGAUCAAUCCCGCUCGUGCUCCCACGGUUCGAUCCCGCUUCUGCACCCACCAUCAUUUUAGAAAAAAAGGCACCCAUCGCUAUAGCGGCCCUUUCUCCCACUUAUGCUUGCCAAAGCUGUUUUCGUCUUUCACCUCCCUCCCCCCUCUCUCUCUUACACACACAAACAAAUCUUCGCGUGAGGUUUUCCCGACAGUCGUGGAGCUCCAACUUCGAUGACCUCCUCCUGGCGGUGGCCACCUGCGCCCAUGCCACCACCUAGCCCUAUGUGGUUGCUCCCUCUUUCCCCUUUGCCAUAUCUCUCCUCUCUCUCUCUCUCUGGUGACAUCCUCACUGACGUUGGACGAGCAUCUCCCUCGUGCCCUCCUCCCUGUGUUCGCGCCCCCGUUGCCUCCUACCACCUCCCACGCGCGCGAUCAUGGCUGAUGCAGCGACGUCGGAUCUACCGGAUCCACGGGGCAGGUAGGCCUCUCUUCCUCCUCCUCCUCCUCCUCCUCCUCCUCCUCUCUCUCUCUCUCUCUCUCUCUCUCUCCCCUCUCCUCCUGGAUCUGCUUUCUAGGGUUUCAACGAGAUCUUCCCUAUCUUCCCCAACACUGGUGGACUAUAGAAUGGUUGGUCGGGGGGAGGCAGGUAGACUAAGAGGUGGGAUUGGGAAUGGUCGAUGGGUGGCUUAGGGGAGCGGGCAACGGUAGGGGCGGGCGGGUCAGUUCGGGGCGGGAAGGCUCGCCAGAGCUGGAGAACAUGGCGGCGGUGGGGGAAGGAAAGAGGGUGGCUAUCAUGGGCGCUAGGGCAUGGCAGGGCGGUGGCCGGCGAUAGGGGCGAGGGGUGCCAGGGUUGGGAAGAAAAGAUAAGCUCUGCUUUUUUCUUUUUUUGGCAACCAAAAUAAUUUGUUCCUUGGAGUGUGCAACAGAAAAAUUAGAAUUUCUACAUGCAUACGCUCUAGUAAAGUACUAAUUCUAUAUAUACACAGUGUUUAAAUACACAGUCUAAAUUAUUUAUAUUUUGAAAAAGUAUUAUAAUUUAAUAGUAGCUGCUAGUUUUUUAACUCGGAGGCUCCAACCGGCAACCAAAUAGUUGGCACUAGAGCCGGUUAGCAAUCAUACUCGCCAUCGCCUACUUACCUCGCCAUGGUUAAAAAAGAACACUCGAGUAGUCACCGCAGGACGAGUGUCGUGAUGAGCUGUCGAUGAGGUUAAUCGCUAGAAUAGGAGAGUCAUGGGGGGCUGACGACGAGGGCCACCAUAAGAGAGGAAAGUUGUGUCGGGUUACUAACAAUGGCUGCUAGCUGUGGGACGAUAAGUCUACAUAGUUUAGGCUGUCGAAGGUUGUGUUGUCAUUGGGAGUGAGAUCAGUCGGAGUGAGAACACUGGUGUUGUUGAUGAAGAAAUCAUCAUCUAAUCCGUAUUGAUCUUCACCUAUUUUUUCGUCCAUCUCCUCUUAACUACUUUGAUAUUGUAAAGUUUCCUUCCUAUCUCGUUUGUGACCCGCCAGACUCAUGAUCUAGCAUUGAUGGAUGCUGAAUAUGGAGUCCAAUUCUAAUAUAUAUUGAUUCAUUUGUAUAUAAUUAAAUCGAACCCAUGACCUAUGUUCGUAUAAGUUAAAACAACCUAUGUUAAACAAUGUUACGAAGUCUUAUUCUUAUAUGUAUUAGGGUUCAAUGCAACAUACAAAUACGUUUGCUAGCUUAAUAUUAAAGAGUCAAAAUUCAUAACAUAAAUUUUAUGCGUCCAAUGACAGUACAGAUUCUGAUUUCAGCAUAUAUUGAAACAUAAUCAUGAAACAAAGUAUAUGUUUCGUCGCAACGCAUAAGCAUGUUUGCUAAUAUUACAUUAAUUAAGUAUAAUUAAAUUUAUUAUUGGAUAUAUUUUUAUAAUAUACUAUUUAUACUACUUUUAAAUUUUUAAUUAACUUCAAUCAAACUUAAAUUAAUUUUAACUUGCGACGAGGUAGUAGUAGUAGUACUAUUGUAACUCGAGGCCCCACCUCUCCAAAACGCUCUCCGGCUGUUCCCCUUGCUUACGCAUAAGGCAUAACCGCGGCGGGGACACGCGACAGCAUCCACCUCGCCGCCGCCGCCUCCUUCCUUCCGCCCAUCGAGUCGACCGAUCGAUUGUUCGCGGCCUCCCCCUAGUCAGAUCCCACUCAAUCCCAAGCCCAAACCCUACCCACCCUUCUCAACCAGCGAUGAUGGCAGCGGAGCCCUCGCCGUCGGUUCCCUCCACCGCCGCUGACGACCUCGAAACCCUCGCCCUCGACUCAUCCUCGUCGUCCGCCGCCGCUACCGCCUCCGCCUCUACCGACCCCCUCCUCCGGCCACCUACCUCCCCGACCGCCGCGAGCGACGACCACUUCGUCAUCGACGACUUCCUCGACGAGGACGACUUCUCCACCACACCGUCGCCCAGCGUCGUCCGCCCGCCGCGCGCAGCGCGCGGCGAUGCGGCGUCUCCAGUGUUCGCCAAAAUCACCGUAUCCGAUCCCAAGAAGCACGCGGAGCCCAGCGGCGGGGGUGCCGCCGGUGUGAUCCCGGGGUCCGGCAGCUACUUUUCUUACCUCAUCACCACCCGUUUUGCUGGCGGCGGCGGGGAGGUCCGCGUGCGGCGGCGCUUCCGCGACGUGGUGGCCCUCGCGGACCGCCUUGCCGCAGCCCACCGCGGCCUCUUCGUCCCGGCCCGGCCCGACAAGAGCGUCCUCGAGGGGCAGGUGAUACAGCGCCACGACUUCGUCAGCCAGCGGUGCGCUGCGCUCCAGCGCUACCUCUGCCGCCUUGCCGCGCACCCUAUUGUUGGUCAGAGCCCUGAUCUCCGUACGUUCCUCACGGAGCCUGGUGCCAUCCCUGCCUUCCAAGGUGAGGCGCCGCGGUACUGGACUUCCACGGUGAAUGCUGCUGCUCCGCUGGUGCCAACGAAAGCUGGGAGGGACUUGUUUGGGAUGUUUAAGGGUCUCAAGCAGACGUUGGUGAAUGGGCUGGUUGCAACAAAGCCUCCACCUGUGGAGCAGGAGACAGACACAGAGUUCCUGGCACACAAGGCCAGGUUCGAGGACUUACAGCAGCAGCUCACCACAACAUCGCAGCAGGUAUUGGUCAAUUCACAGAUCUUGUGAAAUAGCUCAGUUGCAUGUGUUCCUCACGAUGCUUCCUCUUUUACAUACAUACAUACAUAUUAUUAUGCGACGAAUACAAAAUUGCUCUGGCCAAUCCUUUAAUUUUUGUAUUUUAUAUAUGCAGGCAGAAGCGCUUGUUAAAGCCCAAGAUGAUCUUAGAGAAACUACAGGUCACUUGGGAAUGACAUUGAUUAAGCUGGCAAAAUUUGAAAGAGAGCAGGCAACAUGUAAUUCCCUAAGAAGACGGGCUGGUGAAAUCCAUAGUUUUGCAAAUUCUGUUUUGAAGAUGAGCAGGUCACAGAUAAAAUUAAACUCUGAAAUUGUGAAACACCUGGUAUGUUAAUAUAUUGUGGACUCAAUACCGGGAAAGUGUUUUUAUCUUUUACUGGAAUUAUCUGACUCACUAACAUUGUUUAUGGCUUUGCAGGGUAGUAUCCAUGAAUACUUGGAGAUGAUGAUAUCAGUUCAUCAUGCGUUUACAGAUCGCUCUAAUGCUUUACAUUACGUGCAAAGCUUGUCAGCAGAUUUGUUUUCCUUGCACACCAGAGCAGGGAGACUUGAAUCUUCAUCAGCAAGAGAUAUGGGGCAUGAGUGGUCAACAUAUCAGAAGGUAGAGGGGUUGAAAGAAACAAUAAGAUCAGCGGAAGCAGCCAAAAGUGAUGCACUUAGAGAAUAUGAAAGCAUUAAGGUAAGUUGCCUGAUUAAAUGUAAAUAAUAAUAUUCCAUCAAAAAAAAACUUAAGGAGCAUGAACUUACCUAGGAAAAUUACCUAAACAUACACCUCAUGGUUUUAGGUGCCGAAGAAGCGUGCACCUCUUAAUUUUUAGCGUUGCAAGUUGAGCCGUGCUUUACUCUUGACACAAAUUAGCACAUCUAGCAAAAUCUGGCAUGAUUAAAUGUUGUUCUUAUGAUUAUUAAAUUUAUAUGCACGGAUCUAUAUAUAGGGAUUAGAAAAACAGAAACCAUGAGGGACAAUUCUAAUUGAAAGAAAAAAACAGAUAGGAACAGACAUCCCCUUGGGGCAAAAGAAACCCUGAAGAAACCUUGAAUCUGAGUAUGACAGAUCAAUACCAAAUCCAAGAAGGCAAGAAGUAAUCUAGGAAAUGUGGCUGCUGAGUGUCUGUGAGCUUGUCAAUUGUUUCUUGCCCUAGUGCAUCUCGCUGUCACCAGUUGUUUGUUCUCACACCCCGCACUGGUUGAUUCUCAUCAUCCGAGUCCCUAGAAGAACCUUGGUUCCCUGCUACAGAAUCACACGUGGAGAGACAUCCUUGUGUGAGGUCUGUGUGCUGUGGUGGGAGCAUGGGGCCUUGUGUGUCUGCAUCAGUGCACACAUGGAGGGUGAGGUUAUGGAGACUGGGCAAUCUUGGAAGAGGCGGCGGAGAUGGGUGAGGGCUCGCCCAGAACGUCGGGUGUCCAAGGGGACAGGACAAUGAGCAGAGAUGGGGAUACCCUCCUCAUAACCUUGUUCUGAUGGGUAUACCCCUUCUCUCAACUGGCAAAGAAUUUUUCCCCAUCCUUGGCCCAUACUACCAGGUGUGGAUUUGGGGAAUGGGUAUGGGUACCAAUGACAACGGCACGAUGCUACCUUCCAAUUAUAUCAUUUUAAAUCUGGCAAUUCUAAUUUCUGAAAGCCUGGAAACUAGAAGGGUGCCUGGGGAUGCUGUAUCCAAAUGGAGUGGUAUUGAGCUUUUUUUUUUCUCUUUUAGCUUGAGCAUAUGUUGUGAGGUUAUUCGACUGAUUCUGAGAACAUUAGGAUAUCAAGUCAUAUUUGUGGAGUUCAGGGUUUGAUAUAGAAAGUUAUACUCCCUCCGUCCGUGAAUACAAGGCGUAACCACUUUUUUGUAUACAAGGCGUGUGCCUGAGGCCAUUAACGCGCAUGCAACAUUUAACGCUGGGUCUGCUAAUCUCCUCGCCUCCUACGCUGCAUGCAGCACACCGUUCUACAGAGCAUUCAUGUUCUCUUUCGCCGGCGUGGAGUGAAUGGGAUGGCGAAUCCUGCAUGCACGCAUGGGCGGCAUUCAAAAUGUUAUCCUCGGAACACACCUAAAUUAAAUUGUUUAUUGGUCUUAGUGCUGAAGGAGUUGCGUCUUCUAUUCACGGAUGAUGGGAGUAGUACUCUAGGGAUGCUAGGUGCCAAUGUGCCAUUAUGGCUGUUACUGAAAUUUGAAACCUUGUUGCCUUUAACAAUGCAGGAAAACAACAAGAUUGAAAUAAAAAGAUUUGACAAGGAAAGACGCCAUGAUCUCAUCGAGAUGCUGAAAGGUUUUGUGGUAACUCAGGUAAGAGGGCUACGUGUCCAGCAAAGAAAGCCAUUUUGAGUACAUUGUACAUUUGCUGACGAAAGAGUUGAAAUAAUCGUGGUUAACUACAUAUUGUUUUGCUCUUCAAUUGUUUAUGCAGGUGUCUUAUUCAGACCAUUUUGCUAAUAUGUGGACAAAGGUAACAGAGGAAACAGAAGUAUAUGCAAACAGGAGCAACUGAUAUACGUAUAGGGAGUGUAGAGUAGUUGAUUUUGAUCUACAUUUAAUUUGCUCCAACAUCCAGCGACUACAACCAUUCUUAUUCUACCCCAGUUUUGCCACAUUGGGUUGGUUGUAGUGCCACAUGAGUUAUGUGCGGUCGUUUAUGUGCAGUCGUGAAAUUGGGUCCCGACAGAUGAGCUUCUUUAAUCCUGUUAGCUUGACUGAUAAUCCAGGGCUAAAAGUACUUUAUGUUGAUUUGUUGUAAGAGAAAAACACUGUUGAAUGACAGAUUCGGCAGAUAAGCCCCAACAAACAAGAAUUUUACACAAGAUUUUUUUGAUGAUAACUUACAGUUAAUGUCCAUGAGCAUCACGCCACGUGUACUUAUCCUGUUGUGUUCCUAUCCUGUGCAGUAAUGCACGGGUGUAUCCUGGCAUACUAGUGCAAAUGGAGAACGAAGCAGCUUUUCAGGUUUCACUGUUUCAGUUUUCCACACAUUGCUGGAUGCUGACAGGGCAAUUCCAGCAGAGCUUGUGGCUGUCGUCUUUUCUUAUCCACACAUCCUUCGCAAUCUGCAUGGAGUACUACCCACCUGUCAAGAACGCUCGGACGUUUCACAUGAAACCUUACGAAUUUGCCUCUCUCUGUCGUUGCCUGUGAAUCGAUUCGCAGUUUAUCGAGACCGCGACACAGAUUUCAAGUUUUCGGCUCUCACGACCAGCAUGGCUCCAAGCAGGCCGCCAGCAAUGCUGUCCCACGCGCCGUCUCGAAGUCCCGCCGCCUUCUUCAAACCGCGCCCCUCCUCUGCCGGCUCCCGCCUCGGCGCCAAACACCUCCCGGUCACCGCCACCGCCUCAACCCGCCGCAGCGUGUCCGCCUCCGCCGCCUCCCGCCGCGGCUUCCUCCUCUUCGUACCCUCGCUCGCCGCCGCAACCGCCGUCCUCCGCCCACUCGCGUCCGCCGCCACCGAGGCCGAUGACGCCGAAAUCCCGGCUCCACGUCCAUCGCCCACCGAAGAAGAGCCCCUGUCCCCGCAACCCGCCGCGGAGGCGGAGGCGGAGGCGGAGACGAAGCCUGAG
RNAcentral lists this long non-coding RNA (33837 nucleotides) under Sorghum bicolor (sorghum). Its description in RNAcentral is "long non-coding RNA (SBIC_LNC016694)". The record is from RNAcentral. Lineage: Eukaryota; Viridiplantae; Streptophyta; Magnoliopsida; Poales; Poaceae.